RNAcentral lists this ribosomal RNA (383 nucleotides) under Saxifraga fragilis. RNAcentral's name for it is "5.8S ribosomal RNA". The stretch from base 225 to 380 matches the Rfam family "5.8S ribosomal RNA". Lineage: Eukaryota; Viridiplantae; Streptophyta; Magnoliopsida; Saxifragales; Saxifragaceae. The record is from RNAcentral.
GUGCCUCCCUUGGGAACACCCUUGGUUUCCAGACAACGUUGGGGCGGCUUGGCUUUCUUUUAUCCCGGCGACGUAAAACUCGCUUGGGCUAACAAGCGUCGGGCUAAACCAACGCAACAAAAAACCGGCGUGAAAUGCGCCAAGGAACAUGAAAGAGAGUGGGCUCUUCUGGUGUCAGUACUGCUGCGCCAGGACGGGCGUUGUCUUCUUGAUGAGUUUAUAAUGACUCUCGGCAACGGAUAUCUCGGCUCUUACAUCGAUGAAGAACGUAGCAAAAUGCGAUACUUGGUGUGAAUUGCAGAAUCCCGUGAACCAUCGAGUCUUUGAACGCAAGUUGCGCCCGAAUCCUUUUGGUCGAGGGCACGUCUGCCUGGGUGUAANGA